AACGCACAUUGCGCCCGCCAGUAUUCUGGCGGGCAUGCCUGUUCGAGCGUCGUUUCGACCCUCAGGACCUUCCUAGGUCCUGGUGCUGGGGCUCUUCUGCAGCGUCUGCAGGCCCUAAAGGACAGUGGCGGGUCCGCUGGACACCCGAGCGUAGUACUAAAACUUUUCGCUAAGGGUUUCUCGGUGGGGAACCCGGCCGUAAAACUGGCUGCCGCGGGCGGCAGGGCUCUAGCCCUGUGUCGGCGCGCACGCGCAUUUUGCAAGGUCGACCUCGGAUCAGGUAGGAAUACCCGCUGAACUUAA
This 303-nucleotide unclassified non-coding RNA is filed under the name uncultured fungus. RNAcentral describes it as "partial contains 5.8S ribosomal RNA, internal transcribed spacer 2, and large subunit ribosomal RNA". The stretch from base 1 to 52 matches the Rfam family "5.8S ribosomal RNA", at positions 103 to 154 of the family's 154-position model. The record is from RNAcentral. Lineage: Eukaryota; Fungi.